UUAACUACGAGACAGCUAAAAUUUUUUACUGUCUUAAAGCGAUUGCGGACAAAAUUGCAAGUAAAGAUGAGCUAUACAAUGACAUUAAUUUGCUAAGACCUGAAAUUUUGCUCGGAAUUGGAGAAUUGUAUCACAAGAAUAUGAAUGAAAAGUUAUAAAGUAAUCAUCCUCACUGUUGCAGAUAAAAUAAACACCUUCGAAUUGUUUGUUGAUUACACAUGACUGAAAUGAUAAUAAUGAUUUCGAAAAAAUUUCUGUCAUCAUGAAUUAUUUUUUUUAAAUAAUAAAUUUAUAUUUUUUUAAUUUCAUAAUUACAUAGUGAACUU
Non-coding RNA from Parasteatoda tepidariorum (common house spider), 326 nucleotides. NCBI's taxonomy places the organism in Eukaryota, Metazoa, Arthropoda, Arachnida, Araneae, Theridiidae. The record is from RefSeq and is a predicted model, not a curated record.